This 529-nucleotide ribosomal RNA is filed under the name Anterastes niger. RNAcentral describes it as "partial 16S ribosomal RNA". It matches the Rfam family "Bacterial large subunit ribosomal RNA", at positions 1807 to 2609 of the family's 2925-position model. Lineage: Eukaryota; Metazoa; Arthropoda; Insecta; Orthoptera; Tettigoniidae. The record is from RNAcentral.
ACAAAAACAUGGCCUUUUGGGUGGAAUUUAAGGUCGGGCCUGCCCACUGAUAUAAUUGAAGGGCCGCGGUAUUUUGACCGUGCAAAGGUAGCAUAAUCAUUAGUCUUUUAAUUGAGGGCUGGAAUGAAUGGUUUGACGAAAUAUUAACUGUCUCUUUAUAAUAAAUUGAAUUUAACUUUUGAGUCAAAAGGCUUAAAUGAAUAUAAAAGACGAGAAGACCCUAUAGAUCUUUAUAUAGUUAUAUAAUUGGUUUAUUUAGUUGUUUUAUUUACGAUUAUUUUGCUGUAUUUUGUUGGGGUGACAUGAAGAUAAAAAUAACUCUUUAUAAUAGGAACAUUGAUUUAUGAGUGAUUGAUCCGUUAUUAACGAUUAUAAGAUAAAGUUACCUUAGGGAUAACAGCGUAAUUUUUUUUGAGAGUUCUUAUCGACAAAAAAGAUUGCGACCUCGAUGUUGGAUUAAGGAAUAUGAUUAGGUGUAGCAGUUUAAUUAAUAAGUCUGUUCGACUUUUAAAUCCUUACGUCAUCUGAG